RNAcentral lists this transfer RNA (72 nucleotides) under Candidatus Sungbacteria bacterium RIFCSPHIGHO2_02_FULL_41_12b. Its description in RNAcentral is "tRNA-Cys". It matches the Rfam family "tRNA". Rfam says of the family: Transfer RNA (tRNA) molecules are approximately 80 nucleotides in length. Their secondary structure includes four short double-helical elements and three loops (D, anti-codon, and T loops). Lineage: Bacteria; Candidatus Sungiibacteriota. The record is from RNAcentral. RNAcentral also lists the same sequence under 1 other name.
GGCAUGGUAGCCAAGAGGUAAGGCGGGAGUCUGCAAAACUCCUAUGCGAGGGUUCGAAUCCCUCCCAUGCCU